Molecule: ribosomal RNA, 468 nt
Filed under: uncultured bacterium
Lineage: Bacteria
Description: partial 16S ribosomal RNA
Rfam family: Bacterial small subunit ribosomal RNA
Source: RNAcentral
GACGAACGCUGGCGGCGUGCUUAACACAUGCAAGUCGAACGGAAAGGCCCUGCUUUUGUGGGGUUCUCGAGUGGCGAACGGGUGAGUAACACGUGAGUAACCUGCCCUUGACUUUGGGAUAACUUCAGGAAACUGGGGCUAAUACCGGAUAGGAGCUCCUGCUGCAUGUUGGGGGUUGGAAAGUUUCGGCGGUUGGGGCUGGACUCGCGGCUUAUCGGCUUGUUGGUGGGGUAGUGGCUUACCCAGGCUUUGACGGGUAGCCGGCCUGAGAGGGUGACCGGCGACAUUGGGACUGAGGGACGGCCCAGACUGCUACGGGAGGCAGAAGUGGGGAAUACUGCACGAUGGGCGGAAGCCUGAUGAAGCAGCGCCGCGUGCGGGAAAACGGCCUUAUGGGUGUAAACCGCUUUCGCAUGUGACGGAGCGUGUGUGACGGUAAUGGGUAAAGAAGCACCGGCUAACUACGGG